GGGUUCAAGUCCAGGAUCUUUGUCCUGCCUGCAGAUCACUGGGUCUAUAACCUAGUUGCAUGGCCAAGCUCCCCCAAGUGAGACUGGGAGGUGUGAUACGUAUGCUGGGUGGCCGUGUGCCCUCCUGAAAUUAGAGGCCUUGUUAUACAAGAAGAAGGAUACUGAGCAGGCCAAGAAAGAAGAGCUGGGUCCCCUUUGCAGGACCUCACAGGAGUGUAUACACUCAAAGUGUCAGCCAGGCUGUCAAUCUGAGAACCUGACUGGGGAAGAAUCUGCUUUCAAUUCAGGUAGGUGGUUGGCUGCAGUCACUGUCUUGUGCUGUAUAACCUACAGCAGCAGGAGAGGCGAUGUCUGGCCUCAGGCAGCUCCCCACCUUGUUUACAGGCUUUCAUCUGAUUAAGCCAGGCCCACCCAGGACCAUCUACCUUUCGAUUAAACUCAGAGAUGGACUAACUUAGCAGCUGAACCUGCAGCAUACCCUUGCCUUUGCCAUAGUCCAUUGGCUUGAAGCCGUUACUAGAGUACGGUCACACGCAAGGGAGGGGACCUGCGGGGCACAUACCAGGGCCUGAGGAUGGGUCCAUUUGCCACAGUGCCGACAUGCCUGUUGAAUAAAUAGCUGAAAGAGGGAAUAAAAAAUGCCUAUAUAAUGGACCGAAUGACCCCAUUUGUGCAGACGACAGAAACAUAGAUAGGACCGUCCUUUGGCUUUAAGGACUGUGUUGUUUCUCUGCACCACCCCGCUCCUCAUCCCCAGAGACACUCAAUUCUGCACCCAGUGCCGAUCCACCAAGUCCUCUCAAGCAGGGAACAAAGAACCCCAAACAAAGAAGCUGCGAGGAAGCAGGAAGCCCGUAGAUCACACCGCAGCCUCGAUGUCGGAGCCCUGUUGAAGUGUCGACAGUGUUUUCAUUCAGAGAAUCGCGGUAAUGGGGAACACAUUUUUAAUAAACAUAUGCAGCAUCGGGGUGUCUGGUGG
This is a long non-coding RNA of Chinchilla lanigera (long-tailed chinchilla), 979 nucleotides long. RefSeq lists it as uncharacterized. The transcript has 3 exons. The record is from RefSeq and is a predicted model, not a curated record. Lineage: Eukaryota; Metazoa; Chordata; Mammalia; Rodentia; Chinchillidae.